UUCUGGUUGAUCCUGCCGGACCUGACUGCUAUCGGAUUGAUACUAAGCCAUGCGAGUCUUUGUAGUAAUACAAGGCAUACGGCUCAGUAACGCGUAGUCAACCUACCCUAUGGACAAGAAUAAUCUCGGGAAACUGAGCAUAAUUCUUGAUAGAUCAUAAUACCUGGAAUGGUUUAUGGUUAAAAUGAUUCGUCGCCAUAGGAUGGGACUGCGGCCUAUCAGCUUGUUGGUGAGGUAAUGGCCCACCAAGGCGAUUACAGGUACGGGCUCUGAGAGGAGAAGCCCGGAGAUGGGUACUGAGACAAGGACCCAGGCCCUAUGGGGCGCAGCAGGCGAGAAAACUUUGCAAUGUGCGAAAGCACGACAAGGUUAGUCCGAGUGAUUUCUGCUAAAGAGAUCUUUUGCUAGUUAUAAAACCACUAGUGAAUAAGGGGUGGGCAAGUUCUGGUGUCAGCCGCCGCGGUAAAACCAGCACCUCAAGUGGUCAGGAUGAUUAUUGGGCCUAAAGCAUCCGUAGCCGGCUCUGUAAGUUUUCGGUUAAAUCUAUACGCUCAACGUAUGGGCUGCCGAAAAUACUGUAGAGAUAGGGAGUGGGAGAGGUAGACGGUACUCGGUAGGAAGGGGUAAAAUCCUUUGAUCUAUCGAUGACCACCUGUGGCGAAGGCGGUCUACCAGAACACGUUCGACGGUGAGGGAUGAAAGCUGGGGGAGCAAACCGGAUUAGAUACCCGGGUAGU
RNAcentral lists this ribosomal RNA (737 nucleotides) under uncultured marine group I thaumarchaeote. RNAcentral describes it as "bacterial SSU rRNA". It matches the Rfam family "Archaeal small subunit ribosomal RNA", at positions 1 to 745 of the family's 1478-position model. Lineage: Archaea; Thermoproteati; Nitrososphaerota. The record is from RNAcentral.